Humulus lupulus (European hop) is the source of this 377-nucleotide long non-coding RNA. RefSeq lists it as uncharacterized. The transcript is spliced from 3 exons. The record is from RefSeq and is a predicted model, not a curated record. NCBI's taxonomy places the organism in Eukaryota, Viridiplantae, Streptophyta, Magnoliopsida, Rosales, Cannabaceae.
GAGCAAAGUCAGAACUGAAAGAGCUUCUUCAGAGCUUUGGAAGUAUCUAGCUUCUGUUCUGCUUCUACUUCUGGGGGUCUCUACUAUUGGAGUACCAAGCUUGCUGGCCCAAAAUGGUCACCAUUUGCUUCAUGGAUAACUAGCUGGUAUAUUGAGAUGAUUUCUUUGGAGCAAUUCUUGACAACAUUUGUAGUUGAGGCCUUUAGAAUGGAAGAAUGUAUUUCACUAAUUUUUGUAUACAUUUCUUGGUUUGUAUUUAGUGAUAAAGGAAUCUGAAUUGGGCAUAAAUUAUGUUGUAAUAUGAUUUCUUAAGCCUAGACUAGUAGACUAAAUAUUGUAAUUACAUUUGAGUAAUUAAUAAAAAUCUAUUUAUGUUA